Molecule: unclassified non-coding RNA, 787 nt
Filed under: Hevea brasiliensis (rubber tree)
Lineage: Eukaryota; Viridiplantae; Streptophyta; Magnoliopsida; Malpighiales; Euphorbiaceae
Source: RNAcentral
AUUCAAAGAACAACUGAAUCACUCCAUUCUUAUGCAAAAUAUCCAAGCAAUAGCAGCUUCAGCACACAACAUAACCCAUUGUUCCUACCCUUUUUUGUUUCACUGUUUUGAAGUAGAGAGGGAGGAAGAAAGAAAAAUGAAACAGAAGACAGAGUUCUCAACAGUUUUCUUCCCACAAAGAGAAAAGGGAAGGAAGAAGAGGAAGAAGAAGAUCAUCCAAACCCCUGAAGCGAUAAAAGCUUCAGGGCUUACCAUGUAUCAUAUUCAAGGAAACUUCAGUAAUAGUGAUUUGUUUCGCAAAAGGCUUUGGCAUGAAAAAGGAUUCACAGCCUCAGCCUCUAACUGUCUAACGCAUAAUAAUGACAAAUUCUUCAACCUCUUUCACUUUGACUGCUAGUGAAAUUUAUGGCGUAGCAGUUAAUUUCAUGCCACUGAUGUGCAUCCACCAUAUAAUGAUGAUAUACAUCAAUCACAUUGGAAACUUGUACUCUAGGAAUGCAGAAUAUGUGAAGGAAGUGACGGAUACUGGCAUACUGCAGAGAACAUGCAUAAAAUGCAGAAAUUUUUUUUUUAUAUUUUCCACCUUACUUUUCAUGAAAGAGAACAGACACAGGCAUAUAUAUGUAAAUAAUAUUGGAACAUUUCACCGUUGCCCAUUGCACGUAUCCUAUGCAAUAAAUCAUCUAAACCUUUCACUUCAAAAUGAGAUUAGAAUAAACUGCAUGUAAGCAUUCCUCUUUAUUCAAGGGAACAAAGUGCAAACCUCUAAGCAUACUGAAUGUUACAA